CCCUGCUGUAUAAAGACGGUAAAUCGCUGUAAAGUUGAUUAUUCCGUAUUUAGUGGCAUAAAACAAAGGUUUCUCCUAAAUAAAGGUUACAAUAAGAACGGUGCUGUGUGGAAAUGGAACCCUGGCUGGAGCGGCUCGGGGUUCACGUCAGGUGUCAAACAGGGUACAGCGCAGUAGAGUACAGUGCUUGAACAGCCAGGUCUCUGGAGCGAGUUGAGGGAGAAAGAGGCGGUGGUGCUGACCGAGUCCAACACACAUUGCCACACAGGGGUUCGGUGUCCUUCAAACCACAGCAGAAGAUCAUCUCCAAGAGUGUAUAUAAUCUGCGGAGGAGAGAACGGCGGUGCAGUCUGCAGAUUAUUUUUCAGAUGGCCAACAUAACACACCUGAAGUUUUUUCAGGCUCUUCCUAUAGCAAAGGGCACCAGUGUAGAGCAGUGCUGACAACUGCAGGACUGCCGUUCUGGAACUCCGAUGAAGGGAGCGAUGGCGUGGCCCGUACUGCUUCUCCUGCUGCUCCUGCUGGGUGCGCUGCCCGACGCACGUGUUUUCUCCUGGUUUCUACUCCUCUCAGCAAAUGUGCUGGAUGCCGUGCUGCUGAGGAACUCUGGGAAGGUGAUGAUUGACGACGACAAGGAGGACAGCGGUGCUUCUGCCUCCUCCGUUCCACAGAGGCUUCUCUGGUGCUACUGCUACCACCACUGCCCUGAGGACUCCUUCAACCACACCUGCAGGACAGACGGAUACUGCUUCGCCUUGGUGGAAGAGGAAGAUGGAGGGGCAAUUAUUUACACCUAUGGAUGUCUGGGGCUUAUUGGCUCUCAGUUUCAGUGUAGGGAUACAGAGAACUCGCGGCAGCGACGGGCGCUAGUAUGCUGUACGGACCGAGAUUACUGCAACCGAGACCUGCACCCGACCCUUCCUCCCCCAAAGCCAUCUGGUUAUGUGGACAACAGCAUCCUAUACGUGGUCCUCUCCAUCAUGGUCGGCAUCUGCAGCAUCAUCCUCGCCCUGCUCGUAAUCUUCUGCUGCUACAGAUACAGGCGUCGCGAAUGGCGGCCACACUACGGCAUUGCUUUGGAGCAGGAUGGAGGCUACCUUCCCCCGGGAGAAUCCCUGAAAGACCUGAUGGAACAGUCGCUGAGCUCUGGCAGCGGCUCAGGGCUCCCCCUGCUGGUGCAACGGACCAUUGCCAAGCAGAUUCAGAUGGUGACGCAAAUCGGCAAGGGCCGCUACGGUGAGGUGUGGAUGGGUCGGUGGCGUGGGGAGAAGGUGGCUGUCAAGGUAUUCUUCACCACUGAAGAGGCCAGCUGGUUUCGUGAAACGGAGAUCUACCAGACUGUGCUGAUGAGGCAUGAGAACAUCCUGGGUUUCAUUGCUGCAGACAUCAAGGGCACAGGCUCCUGGACACACCUGUACCUGAUCACGGACUAUCACGAGAACGGCUCCCUGCACGACUACCUCAAGUGCACCGUGCUGGAUAGUCGGGCCACGCUGCAGCUGGCGUACUCCGCCGUCUCUGGUCUCUGUCACCUGCACGCGGAGAUCUUCGGCACGCGGGGCAAGCCUGCCAUCGCGCACCGGGACCUCAAAAGCAAGAACAUCCUCGUGAAGAAGAACGGGAUGUGCUGCAUUGCUGACUUGGGACUGGCUGUCAAGUUCAUCAGUGACACCAACGAGGUGGACAUCCCACACAACACUCGGGUCGGAACCAAACGCUACAUGCCUCCUGAGGUUUUGGAUGAAAGCCUGAAUCGGGCCCACUUCCAGUCCUACAUUACGGCCGACAUGUAUAGCUUUGGACUGAUCUUGUGGGAGAUUGCUCAGAGAUGUGUGUCUGGAGGAAUAGUGGAGGAGUAUCGGCUGCCUUACCACGACCUGGUCCCCGCAGACCCAUCCUAUGAGGACAUGAGGGAGGUGGUUUGUAACAAGAGGAGAAGACCUUCAUUCCCCAACCGCUGGAGCAGUGAUGAGUGCCUCAGGCAGAUGGGAAAGCUGAUGUCUGAGUGCUGGGCACACUCACCCGCCUCUCGUCUAACAGCCCUGAGGGUUAAGAAGACGUUGGCCAAGAUGUCCGAAUGCCAGGAUAUAAAGCUUUGAGAAUGAGGAGCAGCGCAAGGGGUGGAACGUGGCGGUUCUGCCACUGUUGAAGACGAUCAGUUGUCGGCUGAAGAUCAGGUCACCUUGAUGCCAACAAAAUGGUGUAGAGGCCUCUUUCAGCAUACAUGCAGGACGAUGGCAGCAGCUUGCGGAAUUGCUUUGUAGGUUAAGUUUGUGUGCCAGCAUCCUCCAGUCAUUGCCCCGCAUCUGAGGGGCGUCCAGGCUGCUGCACAGCUUCUGGCGGAU
RNA transcript from Scleropages formosus (Asian bonytongue), 2345 nucleotides. It is a transcript of the gene named bone morphogenetic protein receptor, type IBb, with no coding region annotated. The record is from RefSeq and is a predicted model, not a curated record. The transcript has 15 exons. Lineage: Eukaryota; Metazoa; Chordata; Actinopteri; Osteoglossiformes; Osteoglossidae.